GCUUGCUUGGGCAACACCAGUAGUAAAAUUGGAAUGAUACAGUGAAGGUUAGCAUAGCCCUUGCACAAAGAUGACAUGCAGAUUCAUGAAACAUUACAUAUUUUA
This is a non-coding RNA of Pongo abelii (Sumatran orangutan), 105 nucleotides long. The record is from Rfam. NCBI's taxonomy places the organism in Eukaryota, Metazoa, Chordata, Mammalia, Primates, Hominidae.